CGGAAAAUCAAGGCUGAGGCGUGACGACGAGGCACUACGGUGCUGAAGCAACAAAUGCCCUGCUUCCAGGAAAAGCCUCUAAGCAUCAGGUAACAUCAAAUCGUACCCCAAACCGACACAGGUGGUCAGGUAGAGAAUACCAAGGCGCUUGAGAGAACUCGGGUGAAGGAACUAGGCAAAAUGGUGCCGUAACUUCGGGAGAAGGCACGCUGACACGUAGGUGAAGUGAUUUACUCAUGGAGCUGAAGUCAGUCGAAGAUACCAGCUGGCUGCAACUGUUUAUUAAAAACACAGCACUGUGCAAACACGAAAGUGGACGUAUACGGUGUGACGCCUGCCCGGUGCCGGAAGGUUAAUUGAUGGGGUCAGCGCAAGCGAAGCUCCUGAUCGAAGCCCCGGUAAACGGCGGCCGUAACUAUAACGGUCCUAAGGUAGCGAAAUUCCUUGUCGGGUAAGUUCCGACCUGCACGAAUGGCGUAAUGAUGGCCAGGCUGUCUCCACCCGAGACUCAGUGAAAUUGAACUCGCUGUGAAGAUGCAGUGUACCCGCGGCAAGACGGAAAGACCCCGUGAACCUUUACUAUAGCUUGACACUGAACAUUGAGCCUUGAUGUGUAGGAUAGGUGGGAGGCUUUGAAGCGUGGACGCCAGUCUGCGUGGAGCCGACCUUGAAAUACCACCCUUUAAUGUUUGAUGUUCUAACGUGGACCCGUUACCCGGGUUGCGGACAGUGUCUGGUGGGUAGUUUGACUGGGGCGGUCUCCUCCUAAAGAGUAACGGAGGAGCACGAAGGUUGGCUAAUCCUGGUCGGACAUCAGGAGGUUAGUGCAAUGGCAUAAGCCAGCUUGACUGCGAGCGUGACGGCGCGAGCAGGUGCGAAAGCAGGUCAUAGUGAUCCGGUGGUUCUGAAUGGAAGGGCCAUCGCUCAACGGAUAAAAGGUACUCCGGGGAUAACAGGCUGAUACCGCCCAAGAGUUCAUAUCGACGGCGGUGUUUGGCACCUCGAUGUCGGCUCAUCACAUCCUGGGGCUGAAGUAGGUCCCAAGGGUAUGGCUGUUCGCCAUUUAAAGUGGUACGCGAGCUGGGUUUAGAACGUCGUGAGACAGUUCGGUCCCUAUCUGCCGUGGGCGCUGGAGAACUGAGGGGGGCUGCUCCUAGUACGAGAGGACCGGAGUGGACGCAUCACUGGUGUUCGGGUUGUCAUGCCAAUGGCACUGCCCGGUAGCUAAAUGCGGAAGAGAUAAGUGCUG
Molecule: ribosomal RNA, 1249 nt
Filed under: Salmonella enterica
Lineage: Bacteria; Pseudomonadati; Pseudomonadota; Gammaproteobacteria; Enterobacterales; Enterobacteriaceae
Description: partial 23S ribosomal RNA
Rfam family: Bacterial large subunit ribosomal RNA
Source: RNAcentral